RNAcentral lists this non-coding RNA (214 nucleotides) under Robinsoniella sp. RHS. The record is from RNAcentral. RNAcentral also lists the same sequence under 1 other name. Lineage: Bacteria; Bacillati; Bacillota; Clostridia; Lachnospirales; Lachnospiraceae.
AAACAAAAUAUUAAUUGCGGUCAUUUUUCAUGCAGUUUUUCAGAAUCUGCCAUGAAAGUGAUAAUAGGGAAGCCGGUUCAAUUCCGGCACAGUCACCUCUACUGUAACGUGGACGAGGAAACAAUAUGCCAUUGGCGCUGUACAGAUAGCUGCUGAGAAGGCGUUUCUAAGGUCGAAGCGGAGUCAGGAUACCUGCCGUAAAAACAGAUUGCUG